AAUACCGUUUAGAAAAUCAAAAAAUGACCCAUAUAUUUAACAAUUAGAUAAAAUUGACUUUCAGAAAAAAUGCUACACUUAUAUACACCUCUAUACAUCAGAGCAAGUUUUCUAGGAUAAAAGUGGUCUACAGUAAAAAAAUAAAAAAUUAAGUACCAUUGUAAGAAAUAUUUAAAAAAGGAAAAAAAGUCGUCCAAUGAUUUUGGAAAUUUCACCACGUCUAAGUGAGUCCAAUAUCAGUAUUAUUACCAAGUUUCAAAACUCUACGUAUAUUUAUAACUGAAUUACAGCAAAAAACUUUCAAAAAUUUAAAUUCCUUUAAAGCUCAAAAGUGACUCAAAAGUUUUGGCGAUGAUACCGUAAGAAAUUAAAUCAAAAAUAAAACAAAAAAGAUAUUUUGUGUUUUUCGAUUUGAUCAUUUUUUCCGGUAGAAAACGACGUCCGUGUUUUUAUAAAAUAAUGAAAUCGUGAAAUUGUACGUUUUUUCUUUCUUAAAUGCUUUUAUUUAAAAAAAUGGCGUCGAAAAUUACUACUCGUAAAAAUCAGAGCAAGUUUACUAGGAAAAACCGUGUCCACAGACUAGAACAAAGAAAAAAAAUAAACAACAUUGUAAAAUCAAUAGUUCCCUUGCUAUGCUCGGAAUCUAAAAAUUAGAAAUCAUUUUAUACUAUAAGCUACAUCUACAGUUGUUAGACGAUGGUCAUAAAUUAUUAUAACUUUCGAAUUCAAUUUACUAGAAAAAUCGGUAAAAGGAUUUCAGAUUAAACUUA
This is a non-coding RNA of Cinara cedri, 770 nucleotides long. NCBI's taxonomy places the organism in Eukaryota, Metazoa, Arthropoda, Insecta, Hemiptera, Aphididae. The record is from the annotation of a GenBank genome assembly.